RNAcentral lists this long non-coding RNA (1177 nucleotides) under Catharus ustulatus (Swainson's thrush). RNAcentral describes it as "lncRNA (ENSCUSG00005001400.1)". The record is from RNAcentral. Lineage: Eukaryota; Metazoa; Chordata; Aves; Passeriformes; Turdidae.
UUGGGAUUGGGGGAUGUGGGUGCGGGAUUUGGGAUUGGGGGAUGUGGGUGCGGGGUGCGGGAUUUGGGAUUGGGGGAUGUGGGUGCGGGGUGCGGGAUUUGGGAUUGGGGGAUGUGGGUGCGGGGUGCGGGAUUGGGGGAUGUGGGUGCGGGGUGCGGGGUUUGGGAUUGGGGGAUGUGGGUGCGGGAUUUGGGAUUGGGGGAUGUGGGUGCGGGGUGCGGGAUUUGGGAUUGGGGGAUGUGGGUGCAGGGUGCGGGAUUUGGGAUUGGGGGAUGUGGGUGCGGGGUGCGGGAUUUGGGAUGUGGAAUGCGGGAUUUGGGAUGUGAGGUGCGGGAUUGGGGGAUGUGGGUGCAGGGUGCGGGAUGGGGAUGUGGGAUGUGGAGUGCACGGUGCGGGAUGCGAGGUGCUGGCUGAUAUAGGUACAGUCGGGAUGCUGGAAAGGCUUGGUCCAAAGGGCCUGGUCAGUUUUAAUGCUAAUAUUAACCUGGUGUGGUUUAAACUGCUGUUUUAACAGGAUUUUCUUAUACUCCAGCAAAGAAAAAAUUAAAUUUCCAACAGUUCAGUAGUCGUACUUUCCAUGCUCGCUGUCUUCUGGAGCUGUGCUCCUUCCCACCACGGUGCCCAUGCUGGGGCAGGCUGUGUAUUCCUGCUGCCUAUGUCCAUGUUGGCUGUGCUGUCUGUGCAGCUGGACAUAAACAGAUCAGGCACCAGGAACAGCGCAGCUUUCUGCCACCCCCUUUCAAUUCUGUCAAAAUUAUUGUUAAUAUUUUGCUUUCACUGCCUCACAGUUGAGAAUGGGAUUGCUUUUUUCUUGGCUUACUCUUAUCAUUGUCUACCUUUACAUUCCCAUAUAAGAAGUUCAAAUUUCGAUUUGCUCCAUCCUUUUCGAUUUGAAGACUCUUCUUGUCUGAAAGAAUGCCUCCUGAAGCCUGUAUUUGCUCCGAAGCUUGUGCAGUCAGAAUCAGUUACUGCCAAGUUACCAGUAAAGCUGCUGUUGCAUUUAGGUGACAAAGCUAAACUCUAUGGAUCUGAAGCUGUUCAGAUUACAGCUAGAAACUCAAAUCCACUGCCACUGCUAUAUGAGGACUGUUUUCUACCUUUCAGAUUGUUUGGAUUACUAUUAACAGAAUUUUCUACAUUUUUAAAUCAUAUUCUUUAUCAGACUACUACAAUAUGA